Sinocyclocheilus rhinocerous is the source of this 457-nucleotide long non-coding RNA. RefSeq lists it as uncharacterized. The record is from RefSeq and is a predicted model, not a curated record. NCBI's taxonomy places the organism in Eukaryota, Metazoa, Chordata, Actinopteri, Cypriniformes, Cyprinidae. The transcript has 3 exons.
CGGGUAUUUAAGGCUGGAGUUAUGCCACCUGGUGUACGUCACUGCUGGGACCGCACCUAUGGAGUGCGCGUGUAUAGAUGCGCGUGGAAUGGCCAUUUGAUGCGUUGUGUUGGGUUGCAGGCUGUCCACUACAUGUCAGCUGUGAAAUUCUUCGGUGAAGGUGUCUUCCUGCAUGAGCUUCUAUGCUUGUUAUGAGUUGAGAGCAACGGUACAAUUCGUGCGGCACAACGAUCCGUUUCGGCACUGUAGGGCCCGAGGCUGGGAGGCUAGCUGGUAGUGAGUACUGGUGAUGGUACAAUCGUGUGGAGUGCAGUAUUGUUUGGAUUCACGUUUUACUCUGUGUGAGUGGGUGUGACUGUGUGCGUGGGAUGCACUAGCGUACAGAUAGGAUCUUCACUUCAGCUAGCCUGCCUUUGCUGCUGGAAAGCCUGUGCCUGUUUAUUUGGUUGUUUUCCUU